AGUGAUCGCUGGCGGCGUGCUUAACACAUGCAAGUCGAACGAGAACGGAAUAUAGCUUGCUAUAUUUGUCAGCUAAGUGGCGCACGGGUGAGUAAUGUAUAGAUAACCUGCCCUUAAGAAAGGAAUAACAGUUGGAAACGACUGCUAAUGCCCUAUAUGCCUUUAAUACAUAAGUAUGCAAGGGAAACGCUUUAGUGCUUAAGGAUGGGUCUGUAUGGUAUCAGCUUGUUGGUGAGGUAAUGGCUCACCAAGGCUAUGACGCCUAACUGGUUUGAGAGGAUGAUCAGUCACACUGGAACUGAGACACGGUCCAGACUCCUACGGGAGGCAGCAGUGGGGAAUAUUGCACAAUGGACGAAAGUCUGAUGCAGCAACGCCGCGUGGAGGAUGACACAUUUCGGUGCGUAAACUCCUUUUAUAUAGGAAGAUAAUGGCGGUACUAUAUGAAUAAGCACCGGCUAACUCCGUGCCAGCCGCCGCAGUAA
This 485-nucleotide ribosomal RNA is filed under the name uncultured bacterium. RNAcentral describes it as "partial 16S ribosomal RNA". It matches the Rfam family "Bacterial small subunit ribosomal RNA", at positions 29 to 523 of the family's 1533-position model. The record is from RNAcentral.